RNAcentral lists this ribosomal RNA (372 nucleotides) under uncultured organism. Its description in RNAcentral is "bacterial SSU rRNA". It matches the Rfam family "Bacterial small subunit ribosomal RNA", at positions 526 to 896 of the family's 1533-position model. The record is from RNAcentral.
CGAGUGCCCCGAGCGUUAUCCGGAAUCAUUGGGCGUAAAGGGUGUGUAGGUGGCAGUGUUAGUCAACUGUUAAAACCCGGGGCUUAACCCCGGACAUGCGGUUGAAACGGCACAGCUAGAGGAUGGCAGGGAUGUAUGGAACUCAUGGAGUAGGGGUGAAAUCCGUUGAUAUCAUGGGGAACACCAAAAGCGAAGGCAGUACAUUGGGCCACUCCUGACACUGAAACACGAAAGCGUGGGUAGCGAAUGGGAUUAGAUACCCCAGUAGUCCACGCCCUAAACGAUGACAACUAGCUAUGCGGAGUAUCGACCCUCUGCGUGGCGUAGCUAACGCGUUAAGUUGUCCGCCUGGGUAGUACGACCGCAAGGUUA